GUGGGGAAUCUUCCGCAAUGGACGAAAGUCUGACGGAGCAACGCAGCGUGAGUGAUGAAGGUCUUCGGAUUGUAAAGCUCUGUUAAUCGGGUCGAAAGAGCCUAGUGUGAAUAAUGCUAGGAAGUGACGGUACCGGAAUAGAAAGCCACGGCUAACUACGUGCCAGCAGCCGCGGUAAUACGUAGGUGGCAAGCGUUGUCCGGAAUUAUUGGGCGUAAAGCGCGCGCAGGCGGAUCUGCCAGUCUGUCUUAAAAGUUCGGGGCUUAACCCCGUGAUGGGAUGGAAACUACAGAUCUAGAGUAUCGGAGAGGAAAGUGGAAUUCCUAGUGUAGCGGUGAAAUGCGUAGAUAUUAGGAAGAACACCAGUGGCGAAGGCGACUUUCUGGACGAAAGCUGACGCUGAGGCGCGAAAGCCAGGGGAGCGAACGGGAUUAGAUACCCGUGUAGUCC
This 450-nucleotide ribosomal RNA is filed under the name uncultured bacterium. RNAcentral describes it as "partial 16S ribosomal RNA". It matches the Rfam family "Bacterial small subunit ribosomal RNA", at positions 354 to 796 of the family's 1533-position model. The record is from RNAcentral.